AUUGAACGCUGGCGGCAUGCUUUACACAUGCAAGUCGAACGGCAGCGGGGAGGAGCUUGCUUCUCUGCCGGCGAGUGGCGAACGGGUGAGUAAUACAUCGGAACGUGUCGAGAAGAGGGGGAUAACCACCCGAAAGGGUGGCUAAUACCGCAUAAAUUCUGAGGAAGAAAGCUGGGGACCUAGGAAUAGGCCUAGCGCUUUUUGAGCGGCCGAUGUCGGAUUAGCUAGUUGGUGAGGUAAAGGCUCACCAAGGCGAAGAUCUGUAGCGGGUCUGAGAGGAUGAUCCGCCACACUGGGACUGAGACACGGCCCAGACUCCUACGGGAGGCAGCAGUGGGGAAUGUUGGACAAUGGGGGCAACCCUGAUCCAGCCAUGCCGCGUGUAUGAAGAAGGCCUUAGGGUUGUAAAGUACUUUUGUUAGGGAAGAAAAGUCAGCUGUGAAUAAUGGCUGAUACUGACGGUACCUAAAGAAUAAGCACCGGCUAACUACGUG
This 494-nucleotide ribosomal RNA is filed under the name uncultured bacterium. RNAcentral describes it as "partial 16S ribosomal RNA". It matches the Rfam family "Bacterial small subunit ribosomal RNA", at positions 30 to 507 of the family's 1533-position model. The record is from RNAcentral.